CCUACGGGAGGCAGCAGUGGGGAAUUUUCCGCAAUGGGCGAAAGCCUGACGGAGCAACGCCGCGUGAGGGAUGAAGGCCUCUGGGCUGUAAACCUCUUUUAUCAAGGAAGAAGAUCUGACGGUACUUGAUGAAUAAGCCACGGCUAAUUCCGUGCCAGCAGCCGCGGUAAUACGGGAGUGGCAAGCGUUAUCCGGAAUUAUUGGGCGUAAAGCGUCCGCAGGCGGUUUUGUAAGUCUGUCGUUAAAGCGUGGAGCUUAACUCCAUUUCAGCGAUGGAAACUGCAAGACUAGAGUGUGGUAGGGGCAGAGGGAAUUCCCGGUGUAGCGGUGAAAUGCGUAGAUAUCGGGAAGAACACCAGUGGCGAAGGCGCUCUGCUGGGCCAUAACUGACGCUCAUGGACGAAAGCCAGGGGAGCGAAAGGGAUUAGAUACCCCUGUAGUCCUGGCCGUAAACGAUGAACACUAGGUGUCGGGGGAAUCGACCCCCUCGGUGUCGUAGCCAACGCGUUAAGUGUUCCGCCUGGGGAGUACGCACGCAAGUGUGAAACUCAAAGGAAUUGACGG
This 564-nucleotide ribosomal RNA is filed under the name uncultured cyanobacterium. RNAcentral's name for it is "bacterial SSU rRNA". It matches the Rfam family "Bacterial small subunit ribosomal RNA", at positions 338 to 916 of the family's 1533-position model. Lineage: Bacteria; Bacillati; Cyanobacteriota. The record is from RNAcentral.